Molecule: Y RNA, 108 nt
Filed under: Propithecus coquereli (Coquerel's sifaka)
Lineage: Eukaryota; Metazoa; Chordata; Mammalia; Primates; Indriidae
Description: Y RNA (ENSPCOG00000000518.1)
Rfam family: Y RNA
About the family: Y RNAs are components of the Ro ribonucleoprotein particle (Ro RNP), in association with Ro60 and La proteins.
Source: Rfam by way of RNAcentral
GGCUGGUCCGAAGGUAGAGUUAUCUCACUUGAUUGUUCACAGUCAGUUACAGAUUGAACUCCUUGUUCUACUACUUUCCCCCUCCUCACUACUGCACUUGACUAUUAA